AGCCUGUGAUGCGAGAUUAUAUUUGCUACUCUUGAUGGGAUUGUUUUACCAUCGGAUGAUUCUUUAUCUACCAAGAUCUUUGAGGCC
This is a small nucleolar RNA of Salvia miltiorrhiza (redroot sage), 87 nucleotides long. RefSeq annotates it as small nucleolar RNA SNORD24. The record is from RefSeq and is a predicted model, not a curated record. The transcript has a single exon. NCBI's taxonomy places the organism in Eukaryota, Viridiplantae, Streptophyta, Magnoliopsida, Lamiales, Lamiaceae.